GCUCCUGUAGUUCAACUGGAUAAAACAAUGGUUUCCUAAACCGUAGUUCUGGGUUCGAGUCCCGGCGGGAGUACCA
RNAcentral lists this transfer RNA (76 nucleotides) under SAR324 cluster bacterium. RNAcentral's name for it is "tRNA-Arg". It matches the Rfam family "tRNA". From Rfam's summary of the family: Transfer RNA (tRNA) molecules are approximately 80 nucleotides in length. Lineage: Bacteria; Deltaproteobacteria. The record is from RNAcentral.